This 590-nucleotide ribosomal RNA is filed under the name Colacogloea sp. RNAcentral describes it as "partial large subunit ribosomal RNA". It matches the Rfam family "Eukaryotic large subunit ribosomal RNA", at positions 62 to 648 of the family's 3401-position model. The record is from RNAcentral. Lineage: Eukaryota; Fungi; Basidiomycota; Microbotryomycetes; Colacogloeaceae.
AAACUAACAAGGAUUCCCCUAGUAGCGGCGAGCGAAGCGGGAAGAGCUCAAAUUUGUAAUCUGGUACCUUCGGUGCCCGAGUUGUAAUCUCGAGAAGUGUUUUCCGUGCCAGACCGCAUACAAGUCUGUUGGAAUACAGCGUCAUAGUGGUGAGAACCCCGUAGAUGAUGCGGAUGCCUGGUGCUCUGUGAUACACUUUCGAAGAGUCGAGUUGUUUGGGAAUGCAGCUCAAAUUGGGUGGUAAAUUCCAUCUAAAGCUAAAUAUUGGCGAGAGACCGAUAGCGAACAAGUACCGUGAGGGAAAGAUGAAAAGCACUUUGGAAAGAGAGUUAACAGUACGUGAAAUUGUUGGAAGGGAAACGCUUGAAGUCAGACUUGCUAUUUGGAGUUCAGCCUCACGGUGUAUUCUUCAAUUUGCAGGCCAGCAUCAGUUUUUGGGGGUAGAAAAGGGUUUGAGGAACGUGGCAACUCCGGUUGUGUUAUAGCCUCUUACUGGAUCUAUCCCUGGGGACUGAGGAACGCAGUGCACUUUUUGCAAGUCUCUCGGGACUUUUUGCACUUAGGAUGCUGGUGGAAUGGCUUUAAACGAC